RNAcentral lists this ribosomal RNA (460 nucleotides) under uncultured bacterium. RNAcentral describes it as "partial 16S ribosomal RNA". It matches the Rfam family "Bacterial small subunit ribosomal RNA", at positions 338 to 795 of the family's 1533-position model. The record is from RNAcentral.
CCUACGGGUGACAGCAGUGAGGAAUAUUGGUCAAUGGCCGGAAGGCUGAACCAGCCAUGCCGCGUGAAGGUCAGUGCCCUAUGGGCGUUAAACUUCUUUUGUGCGGGAGCAAUAAUGGUCACGUGUGGCCAGACGAGAGUACCGUACGAAUAAGCAUCGGCUAACUCCGUGCCAGCAGCCGCGGUAAUACGGGGGAUGCAAGCGUUAUCCGGAUUUAUUGGGUUUAAAGGGUGCGUAGGCUGUGAGGUAAGUCAGCGGGGAAAUGCCCCCGCUCAACGGGGUGAAGUGCCAUGGAUACUGCCUUGCUGGAAUGCGGAUGCCGUGGGAGGAAUGUGUGGUGUAGCGGUGAAAUGCAUAGAGAUCACACAGAACACCGAUUGCGAAGGCAUCUCACGAAUCCGCGAUUGACGCUGAUGCACGAAAGCGUGGGUAUCAAACAGGAUUAGAUACCCGAGUAGUC